Molecule: ribosomal RNA, 641 nt
Filed under: Vibrio sp.
Lineage: Bacteria; Pseudomonadati; Pseudomonadota; Gammaproteobacteria; Vibrionales; Vibrionaceae
Description: bacterial SSU rRNA
Source: RNAcentral
UUAACUGACCCUUCGGGUGACGUUAACGGCGUCGAGCGGCGGACGGGUGAGUAAUGCCUGGGAAAUUGCCCUGAUGUGGGGGAUAACCAUUGGAAACGAUGGCUAAUACCGCAUAAURSCUUCGGSYCAAAGAGGGGGACCUUCGGGCCUCUCGCGUCAGGAUAUGCCCAGGUGGGAUUAGCUAGUUGGUGAGGUAAUGGCUCACCAAGGCGACGAUCCCUAGCUGGUCUGAGAGGAUGAUCAGCCACACUGGAACUGAGACACGGUCCAGACUCCUACGGGAGGCAGCAGUGGGGAAUAUUGCACAAUGGGCGCAAGCCUGAUGCAGCCAUGCCGCGUGUGUGAAGAAGGCCUUCGGGUUGUAAAGCACUUUCAGCAGUGAGGAAGGCGGGUACGUUAAUAGCGUGCUCGUUUGACGUUAGCUGCAGAAGAAGCACCGGCUAACUCCGUGCCAGCAGCCGCGGUAAUACGGAGGGUGCGAGCGUUAAUCGGAAUUACUGGGCGUAAAGCGCAUGCAGGUGGUUCGUUAAGUCAGAUGUGAAAGCCCGGGGCUCAACCUCGGAACUGCAUUUGAAACUGGCGGACUAGAGUACUGUAGAGGGGGGUAGAAUUUCAGGUGUAGCGGUGAAAUGCGUAGAGAU